Molecule: small RNA, 27 nt
Filed under: Bombyx mori (domestic silkworm)
Lineage: Eukaryota; Metazoa; Arthropoda; Insecta; Lepidoptera; Bombycidae
Description: ovarian small RNA-30917
Source: RNAcentral
UGAAGAUUAAUGGGUGAGUAGUGUUGG